UACCAACCUUGACAAAAAAAACCUUAAUGAGCAGAAUGUAUGUUGAGGAUUAACAUCAGAUGAGUAUUUAUGGUAAUGAGUCUAGAAUAUUCAAAGCUUAGAUUUUGUCCAACUUUUAACACAAGCAACUUUUAAUCUUCGUUAUAAUUCCAUUAAAUUUUGCCAUUCUUGGCUGCAGAUUUAACUGUUUUUGUACUUUGGAAUCUUCCAAAUCGUUUGUAUGUUCUAAAGUUAUUCGAAAUUUAUCACAACCGUUUUAAAUAAUCAAACAAAGAAAAAUCCCUCAAUAGAAGUACCUACACGUGAUCUUGGAGAGGUGGGAGAAAUAUCUUCUAAACAAGAGCUCCACACUGAGUUGAGUGUGCUUAAAACUUGCCCAGCUUUCAAUCAACACACUUUAUUACUAACAAAUAAAUAUUCGCUCUGAAAUGAACAAAGUUUUGCGUGAAUCGUGAUUAAAAGAAGUGAUUUGUGCAGUUUUUUUUUUGAGUUAUUUUUUGAAUAACAUUAAUAAAGGAUGAAGUGGCCGAAGAACAUAACUUGGGAGAAACAACAACAAGAAGCGUUGCGACACGAACAAAAUUUGCAACAAUUUGAUUCGACCGAUCAAAAUAACAACAUCACAAUGACUUCUGAGGAUCUCCUCCAACCGGGGCACGUCGUCAAAGAACGUUGGAAGGUUGUGAAAAAAAUUGGUGGAGGCGGUUUUGGGGAAAUCUAUGAAGGGCUAGAUUUGAUAACCAGGGAGCAGGUUGCUUUGAAGGUUGAGUCGGCGAGACAACCUAAGCAAGUCCUCAAAAUGGAAGUGGCGGUGCUAAAAAAGCUCCAAGGGAAGGAGCACGUAUGCCGGUUCAUUGGAUGUGGGCGAAACGACCGCUUCAAUUACGUCGUGAUGCAAUUACAAGGGAGGAAUCUUGCUGAAUUGAGGAGGGCCCAACCCAGGGCUGCUUUUAGUUUAUCCACUACAUUGAGAUUAGGACUACAAAUACUUAAAGCUAUUGAAAGUAUACAUUCUGUGGGGUUUUUACAUAGAGAUAUCAAACCGUGAUUUUUGUGAUGAUUGUACCACUUUGGAUUUAAUCUUUGUUAUGUUAUGAAGAUUCAAAUGCUUCAAAAUCUUGGUAGCCAGGGAAUGAUUUAAUAAAAAUGGAAAAUUUGAGUUUUUUUAUUAAGAAAUAAAUUUGUUGAGUUGACAAAAAGUCCUCCUAAGUUUAUAUCUAUCACCAAUAAAUUCCAAAAUCGCUUUUGGAAA
Onthophagus taurus is the source of this 1252-nucleotide non-coding RNA. The record is from RefSeq and is a predicted model, not a curated record. NCBI's taxonomy places the organism in Eukaryota, Metazoa, Arthropoda, Insecta, Coleoptera, Scarabaeidae.